Molecule: ribosomal RNA, 244 nt
Filed under: uncultured bacterium
Lineage: Bacteria
Description: partial 16S ribosomal RNA
Rfam family: Bacterial small subunit ribosomal RNA
Source: RNAcentral
UACGGAGGGUGCGAGCGUUGUCCGGAAUCAUUGGGCGUAAAGGGCGCGUAGGUGGCCCGGUCAGUUCGUGGUGAAAGCGCGGGGCUCAACCCUGCGUCGGCCAUGAAUACUGCCGCGGCUGGAGCACUGUAGAGGCAGGCGGAAUUCCGGGUGUAGCGGUGGAAUGCGUAGAGAUCCGGAAGAACACCAGUGGCGAAGGCGGCCCGCUGGGCAGUGGCUGACGCUGAGGCGGCGACAGCGUGGG